CCCCGAACCUGGGGGCCCGGCAGCGGACGGGCGGAGGGGCGAGCAGGGUGAUGCAGCUGGGCGGGGACGAGGACAGGAACGGGGCACGGACGGGAUGGGGACAGUGACGGGGACAGCUCCAGGACGCGCCUGGGGCGGAGAACGUAUGUCCUGCCCCGAAGCACAAAGCAGGUGGUGAUGAGGGCCAAACCGAAGUCAGGAGCCCACACGGAGGCUUCCUUUCUGAAGCCGGUUUCCUUCUAAGACUGAACAUGCAACAGCACAUGGGCUAGUCUUGAGCCCAGAUGACAUCACUUCUGCCAAAUGAGACACAAAGGAGUUGAGUCACAGUCACAGUGCAACUGGCAGUGAGCAUUUCAGAGGGAGUCACUGUGUCUGUCACAGUGGUCACACUAAAGGACACCACAGUAAUGCCAUCAGCAAAACCAGGUAUGCAACAAACAACCCAGCUUCUUCUAUAAAUAAAUUGCAAGCAAAA
Molecule: long non-coding RNA, 478 nt
Organism: Heterocephalus glaber (naked mole-rat)
Lineage: Eukaryota; Metazoa; Chordata; Mammalia; Rodentia; Bathyergidae
Source: RefSeq, a predicted model, not a curated record